This 204-nucleotide ribosomal RNA is filed under the name uncultured bacterium. RNAcentral's name for it is "partial 16S ribosomal RNA". It matches the Rfam family "Bacterial small subunit ribosomal RNA", at positions 1290 to 1500 of the family's 1533-position model. The record is from RNAcentral.
AGUUCGGAUCGGAGUCUGCAACCCGAACUCCGUGAAGCUGGAUUCGCUAGUAAUCGCGCAUCAGCCAUGGCGCGGUGAAUACGUUCCCGGGCCUUGUACACACCGCCCGUCAAGCCAUGGGAGCCGGGGGUGCUUGAAGUGCGUCGCCGCAAGGCGCGCCCUAGAGCAAAACCGGUGACUGGGGCUAAGUCGUAACAAGGUAGC